UGGGACCCAUUUGUUAAAUUACCAAUCAUAUGCAAGAAUAAGAGUUUAGUUGGCAAAGUGGGUCACAUUCAAGCUAGAACUAGUUGUUGCUUUUCAUUGGAGAUGCUCUAAUAUUAAUGAAAGUAUCCACUAAGCCAAUAUAAUCUUUGUAAUAUUUUACUCAAAACAUAAGCUAAUAGAUGACAAUAAAUAAGUAGGAAAAAAAAGGAUCACAUUAUGAAAUGCGAGUCGAGACAAAUUUUAAACGAGUCCAUGUAGCUAUUUUUUGUUGCAUACAUAUCGAUCAAAACUCAUAAUUGGUCAAAUUUUCUCUCUCGUCAAAUAAAAUAUUUCAAGUAUAAACGUCAAAUAGGAACAGGGGAAUAAUAUCAAACAAUGCAAAAACUACCCCUUUUAUAUUUCUUCGUCUCUUCACAUUUUAUGCAAGUGGCAGCACCCAAAAUAAUACAUUUUCUGUAAGUGGGCUGAAGCUGAAUGGGAAUGAAAACAUACAAGGCCCAUAAACGAGGACAAAUUAAAUACUCUGCCAAUAACCCAAGUCCCAAGCAUUUGGGCUGGCAUAUCUCAUUUGAGCUUUAUUUUGGAACACCAUUAGGAUCGAUUAAUGGCAUAGAGUUUAUUAAUCACAAUUCACUCUUAUCUUAUGGUAAACUCAUAUUGCAAGAGUAAAUAAAAAACAAAUUACUAUUAUUACAUCUAAUAAUAUCAAGUAAUAGGUAAAGAACUUAUUCUAAAGAAAAUUUGAUGUCAAUUGUAUUCAACAAAAAAAAAAUUACUUACAUAUAUAGCGAAAUCCAUUAGUUAAAUAAUGUUUGCAUCAAUUUUAUAAGUGAAAGUAUUGGGUCAGACCUGACCGUCUGACCCAAUACUUUUCGUCGGACGGCAAGUUGACGACGACAUCAACAACGUACCUCUGCGACUGCAACAACAAACAAAUCUGAACAAAGAAAGAGGAUGAGUGAAUAAAAAAAAAUCAUGUUGAAGAAAAAAGAGAAGCACAGAAGAAGCAAGUCCCAGUCUCCCGCGAACGCUUUCAAAGGCCACCAGUUGAAGAAUUCAUCAAUCUCUCUCCUCUUGUCUAGAUUAAAUGAUUUUGAUGGCCUUUUCGAGUUGCACGGCCUAUAUUAGUGUAUAUGAUAUGACUAGAAGUUGAUGCAAUUAUUCGACUAUAUCUAAUAAUAUAAGUAUUAUUCCCUUUACAUCAAUAAAUGGCAAAAGAUUUUGAUGGAAAGAAUUCUUCAUGAAGUUCGACAACAUGGCCAGUUGCGAGAUCACACCUGACUCUUCUUCUUCAUCUUCUUCAUUAAACAAAAUGGUUGUGGUGGUCACGAGUCUGUGAUUAUGAGAUAUACAAUCUACAGGCUUUUUUGGAAGCCCGGAGCAACUUAGGUGGAGUUGGUGCGCUUUGGAGCAGGGUUGGAAGUCUACGUAUCUCAUACAAGGUCUAAGGAGCCCAAGAUCGGCAUAUUUGAAGGGUUUAAGUAAGAAAAUAGUUAAUGAAGGGCCAGGACAAUGGACGAGUCCUGAUAAAACUAUAUCAGAUAUAGGCAACUUUGCCUAUAUCAGGGGCAAUAUUGUCAUUUUAAAUGAUUUAGUAGGAUGGAAUGCAAAAGCAUAGGAAUGGGGUAUUCCCUUUCAUUCCAUAAGUUAGUUUAUUUAAUAAUAAUUUUAUCUCUCUCCUCAACCUAACUCCUCAACCUCAAUCAUCAUCCCACCCACCGGAACCGGAAGGUUUCAAGCCGGAAUUCGCCAGAAAAUUCGCCGGAAAGAGGCUUAACUGUGUUUUUCGUGAAUUGAAGCCGACAGUUUAAUGCAAGUCAGGGGUGGUGGAGGAUGACAUGUUCGUUGUAUUUUGUGCGUCGGAUUGCUUUCUUUUGUAACGAUCUAAUGCAAGUGUAAUUUUAAGUACCUCACUUAGCAUUAUAAUGGUUGUAUGGAUAAUUUUAAGUACUUUGUAUGAUUAUGGUUUUAUGAAUAUGUGAACUAAUCAUUUUGUAUAUAAAAUGAAGCAUCAUAUUGUGUUUAUCGUUUC
This is a long non-coding RNA of Beta vulgaris subsp. vulgaris (sugar beet), 2032 nucleotides long. RefSeq lists it as uncharacterized. The transcript is spliced from 3 exons. NCBI's taxonomy places the organism in Eukaryota, Viridiplantae, Streptophyta, Magnoliopsida, Caryophyllales, Amaranthaceae. The record is from RefSeq and is a predicted model, not a curated record.